Long non-coding RNA from Misgurnus anguillicaudatus (oriental weatherfish), 538 nucleotides. RefSeq lists it as uncharacterized. NCBI's taxonomy places the organism in Eukaryota, Metazoa, Chordata, Actinopteri, Cypriniformes, Cobitidae. The record is from RefSeq and is a predicted model, not a curated record.
AAAUUGUGCAAGAUUUGCAAUGCAUGGGUCUCCAACCGAAAGUCCUGCAGGUUUCAUUUACAACCCCAAUUAAACACACCUGAACCUGCUAAUCAAGUUGUUCAGGGCUAAAAUUUUGAGGUGUGUUGGAGUAAAAGGAUAGCUGACCUCCAAAAACAACAUUGGAGGCCCAAGGACAGCCAGUGGAGAAUCUUCUGUUUUCGACGACAUCGUGGAGGUUUGCAUAACCGAUGAAUGACUCCACUUUUAUAUGCAACGGUAGAGCCAGUCCAUUGCUGCCUCUCUUGAUUGGUAGAGAAGUUACAGACAGUUGUACAAGUUGUUACAAUUGUCUACUCUGCUUUGGAUGGCGAAAUCCAGUGCAACACAUACACAGAAGGGUGAUUUCCCACUAAAAUGACUCAAUACUGUGUGUCUGUUUGAACGAAUCAUUUCAAUGAAAAGUAGCCUAAAAAAGAAAAAGUAUAAACCAAUCUUUGUAUGUAUGCUAAAUUCAUAUUCUUUGCCAGCUUUUUUAAACAACUGUUAUGGAAACUCA